Molecule: ribosomal RNA, 762 nt
Filed under: uncultured Cortinarius
Lineage: Eukaryota; Fungi; Basidiomycota; Agaricomycetes; Agaricales; Cortinariaceae
Description: partial 28S ribosomal RNA
Rfam family: Eukaryotic large subunit ribosomal RNA
Source: RNAcentral
GAAUCCCGUCUUUGGCACGGAUGCCUGGUGCUUCUGUGAUGCGCUCUCAAAGAGUCGAGUUGUUUGGGAAUGCAGCUCAAAAUGGGUGGUAAAUUCCAUCUAAAGCUAAAUAUUGGCGAGAGACCGAUAGCGAACAAGUACCGUGAGGGAAAGAUGAAAAGAACUUUGGAAAGAGAGUUAAACAGUACGUGAAAUUGCUGAAAGGGAAACGCUUGAAGUCAGUCGCGUCAUCCAGGGAUCAACCUUGCUUUUGCUUGGUGCACUUUCUGGUUUGAUGGGUCAGCAUCAAUUUUGACCAUUGGAAAAAGGUUAAGGGAAUGUGGCAUCUUUGGAUGUGUUAUAGCCCUUGGUCACAUACAAUGGUUGGGAUUGAGGAACUCAGCAUGCCGCAAGGCCGGGUUUUAAAACCACGUUCGUGCUUAGGAUGCUGGCAAUAUGGCUUUAAUCGACCCGUCUUGAAACACGGACCAAGGAGUCUAACAUGCCUGCGAGUGUUUGGGUGGAAAACCCGAGCGCGUAAUGAAAGUGAAAAGUUGAGAUCCCUGUCGUGGGGAGCAUCGACGCCCGGACCAGACCUUUUGUGACGGUUCCGCGGUAGAGCAUGUAUGUUGGGACCCGAAAGAUGGUGAACUAUGCCUGAAUAGGGUGAAUCCAGAGGAAACUCUGGUGGAGGCUCGUAGCGAUUCUGACGUGCAAAUCGAUCGUCAAAUUUGGGUAUAGGGGCGAAAGACUAAUCGAACCAUCUAGUAGCUGGUUCCUGCC